AGUGAACGCUGGCGGUAGGCCUAACACAUGCAAGUCGAACGGCAGCACAGUAAGAGCUUGCUCUUACGGGUGGCGAGUGGCGGACGGGUGAGGAAUACAUCGGAAUCUACUUUUUCGUGGGGGAUAACGUAGGGAAACUUACGCUAAUACCGCAUACGACCUACGGGUGAAAGCAGGGGAGCUUCGGACCUUUCGCGAUUGAAUGAGCCGAUGUCGGAUUAGCUAGUUGGCGGGGUAAAGGCCCACCAAGGCGACGAUCCGUAGCUGGUCUGAGAGGAUGAUCAGCCACACUGGAACUGAGACACGGUCCAGACUCCUACGGGAGGCAGCAGUGGGGAAUAUUGGACAAUGGGCGAAAGCCUGAUCCAGCCAUGCCGCGUGGGUGAAGAAGGCCUUCGGGUUGUAAGGCCCUUUUAUUGGGAAAGAAAAGCAGCGGGUUAAUACCCCGCUGUUCUGACGGUACCCAAAGAAUAAGCACCGGCUAACUUCGUG
This 492-nucleotide ribosomal RNA is filed under the name uncultured bacterium. RNAcentral's name for it is "partial 16S ribosomal RNA". It matches the Rfam family "Bacterial small subunit ribosomal RNA", at positions 29 to 507 of the family's 1533-position model. The record is from RNAcentral.